AACCAGUCUCGACAUGAUCCGAAUCAAAAUUAUUUAUCAUUGAGAUUGAAUGCACUCUAAACAGAAGAAUAAGGACUUAACUCACAACCAUGGCUCGAACGAGAUUCAACUAGACUCAAACACAAGGAAGAAGGCUCACGACAUUCGCAUACGGAUUCAAAACGAAGAGUAACAAGACAAACUCGAAUAUAGAAAAACAAAGAAGUGGCAAGCUUAAUCGUAUAAUACCCCUUUUAAUCAACAUUAAGACUAGAUAAAGGUGUAUAUAGCACAUGAGAAUACAAGAAUUCCAUCACUAGUAACAACAUCCAAACAAGAACAGUGAUUUCCUAAUCUCAUAAAUAUCGCACCAAAAUAGAGGAG
RNAcentral lists this long non-coding RNA (363 nucleotides) under Solanum tuberosum (potato). Its description in RNAcentral is "long non-coding RNA (STUB_LNC002937)". Lineage: Eukaryota; Viridiplantae; Streptophyta; Magnoliopsida; Solanales; Solanaceae. The record is from RNAcentral.